This is a non-coding RNA of Cinara cedri, 239 nucleotides long. Lineage: Eukaryota; Metazoa; Arthropoda; Insecta; Hemiptera; Aphididae. The record is from the annotation of a GenBank genome assembly.
GAAUCCAAUAGCCAGUUAUAGUUUCUGUAAAGUUCCAUGCGACUCAGCAAUAGAUUUAAACAUCUAGACGGGGAUACAUUCAAUAUUAUGAUAAUAUUAUACGGAAGUGAUGGGUGGAGAUUUUUUGAGAACUAAAUGAGAAAAUCACGGAAUGUUUUAAUCGACUGUCCUCAGGAUCAGAGUUGUUUUCUCUCGCAUCCCACUACAGUGGCACACAAUUAAAAAUAAAUAGGGGUGGC